UAGGGAAUCUUCGGCAAUGGGGGGAACCCUGACCGAGCAACGCCGCGUGAGUGAAGAAGGUUUUCGGAUCGUAAAGCUCUGUUGUUAAGGAAGAACGAGUGUGAGAAUGGAAAGUUCAUGCUGUGACGGUACUUAACCAGAAAGGGACGGCUAACUACGUGCCAGCAGCCGCGGUAAUACGUAGGUCCCGAGCGUUGUCCGGAUUUAUUGGGCGUAAAGCGAGCGCAGGCGGUUAGAAAAGUCUGAAGUGAAAGGCAGUGGCUCAACCAUUGUAGGCUUUGGAAACUGUUUAACUUGAGUGCAGAAGGGGAGAGUGGAAUUCCAUGUGUAACGGUGAAAUGCGUAGAUAUAUGGAGGAACACCAGUGGCGAAGGCGACUUACUGGGCCAUAACUGACGCUGAGGCGCGAAAGCGUGGGGAGCAAACAGG
Molecule: ribosomal RNA, 429 nt
Filed under: Bacteroidota bacterium
Lineage: Bacteria; Pseudomonadati; Bacteroidota
Description: Bacteroidetes bacterium partial 16S ribosomal RNA
Rfam family: Bacterial small subunit ribosomal RNA
Source: RNAcentral